This 62-nucleotide microRNA precursor is filed under the name Ptychodera flava. RNAcentral's name for it is "Pfl-Mir-2012_pre stem-loop". The record is from RNAcentral. Lineage: Eukaryota; Metazoa; Hemichordata; Enteropneusta; Ptychoderidae.
UAGUACUGGCAUAUGGACAUUGGUAUGCAUUGAAACCCCAGUGUUCAUAUUCCAGUACAGCC